Molecule: ribosomal RNA, 429 nt
Filed under: Chloroflexota bacterium
Lineage: Bacteria; Bacillati; Chloroflexota
Description: Chloroflexi bacterium partial 16S ribosomal RNA
Rfam family: Bacterial small subunit ribosomal RNA
Source: RNAcentral
UGGGGAAUAUUGCACAAUGGGCGCAAGCCUGAUGCAGCCAUGCCGCGUGUGUGAAGAAGGCCUUCGGGUUGUAAAGCACUUUCAGCGGGGAGGAAGGCGGUGAGGUUAAUAACCUCAUCGAUUGACGUUACCCGCAGAAGAAGCACCGGCUAACUCCGUGCCAGCAGCCGCGGUAAUACGGAGGGUGCAAGCGUUAAUCGGAAUUACUGGGCGUAAAGCGCACGCAGGCGGUCUGUCAAGUCGGAUGUGAAAUCCCCGGGCUCAACCUGGGAACUGCAUUCGAAACUGGCAGGCUAGAGUCUUGUAGAGGGGGGUAGAAUUCCAGGUGUAGCGGUGAAAUGCGUGGAGAUCUGGAGGAAUACCGGUGGCGAAGGCGGCCCCCUGGACAAAGACUGACGCUCAGGUGCGAAAGCGUGGGGAGCAAACAGG